RNAcentral lists this ribosomal RNA (531 nucleotides) under uncultured bacterium. RNAcentral describes it as "bacterial SSU rRNA". It matches the Rfam family "Bacterial small subunit ribosomal RNA", at positions 977 to 1509 of the family's 1533-position model. The record is from RNAcentral.
GGCCUUGACAUACUAAGAACUUUCCAGAGAUGGAUUGGUGCCUUCGGGAACUUAGAUACAGGUGCUGCAUGGCUGUCGUCAGCUCGUGUCGUGAGAUGUUGGGUUAAGUCCGCAACGAGCGCAACCUUUUCCUUAUUUGCCAGCGGGUAAUGCCGGGAACUUUAAGGAUACUGCCAGUGACAAACUGGAGGAAGGCGGGGACGACGUCAAGUCAUCAUGGCCCUUACGGCCAGGGCUACACACGUGCUACAAUGGUCGGUACAAAGGGUUGCUACCUCGCGAGAGGAUGCUAAUCUCAAAAAGCCGAUCGUAGUCCGGAUCGCAGUCUGCAACUCGACUGCGUGAAGUCGGAAUCGCUAGUAAUCGCGGAUCAGAAUGCCGCGGUGAAUACGUUCCCGGGCCUUGUACACACCGCCCGUCACACCAUGGGAGUUUGUUGCACCAGAAGUAGGUAGUCUAACCGCAAGGAGGACGCUUACCACGGUGUGGCCGAUGACUGGGGUGAAGUCGUAACAAGGUAAGCGUAGAUGA